This 1666-nucleotide ribosomal RNA is filed under the name Escherichia coli 3-475-03_S4_C2. Its description in RNAcentral is "bacterial LSU rRNA". It matches the Rfam family "Bacterial large subunit ribosomal RNA", at positions 1281 to 2925 of the family's 2925-position model. Lineage: Bacteria; Pseudomonadati; Pseudomonadota; Gammaproteobacteria; Enterobacterales; Enterobacteriaceae. The record is from RNAcentral.
AUCAGAAGUGCGAAUGCUGACAUAAGUAACGAUAAAGCGGGUGAAAAGCCCGCUCGCCGGAAGACCAAGGGUUCCUGUCCAACGUUAAUCGGGGCAGGGUGAGUCGACCCCUAAGGCGAGGCCGAAAGGCGUAGUCGAUGGGAAACAGGUUAAUAUUCCUGUACUUGGUGUUACUGCGAAGGGGGGACGGAGAAGGCUAUGUUGGCCGGGCGACGGUUGUCCCGGUUUAAGCGUGUAGGCUGGUUUUCCAGGCAAAUCCGGAAAAUCAAGGCUGAGGCGUGAUGACGAGGCACUACGGUGCUGAAGCAACAAAUGCCCUGCUUCCAGGAAAAGCCUCUAAGCAUCAGGUAACAUCAAAUCGUACCCCAAACCGACACAGGUGGUCAGGUAGAGAAUACCAAGGCGCUUGAGAGAACUCGGGUGAAGGAACUAGGCAAAAUGGUGCCGUAACUUCGGGAGAAGGCACGCUGAUAUGUAGGUGAAGUCCCUCGCGGAUGGAGCUGAAAUCAGUCGAAGAUACCAGCUGGCUGCAACUGUUUAUUAAAAACACAGCACUGUGCAAACACGAAAGUGGACGUAUACGGUGUGACGCCUGCCCGGUGCCGGAAGGUUAAUUGAUGGGGUUAGCCGCAAGGCGAAGCUCUUGAUCGAAGCCCCGGUAAACGGCGGCCGUAACUAUAACGGUCCUAAGGUAGCGAAAUUCCUUGUCGGGUAAGUUCCGACCUGCACGAAUGGCGUAAUGAUGGCCAGGCUGUCUCCACCCGAGACUCAGUGAAAUUGAACUCGCUGUGAAGAUGCAGUGUACCCGCGGCAAGACGGAAAGACCCCGUGAACCUUUACUAUAGCUUGACACUGAACAUUGAGCCUUGAUGUGUAGGAUAGGUGGGAGGCUUUGAAGUGUGGACGCCAGUCUGCAUGGAGCCGACCUUGAAAUACCACCCUUUAAUGUUUGAUGUUCUAACGUUGACCCGUAAUCCGGGUUGCGGACAGUGUCUGGUGGGUAGUUUGACUGGGGCGGUCUCCUCCUAAAGAGUAACGGAGGAGCACGAAGGUUGGCUAAUCCUGGUCGGACAUCAGGAGGUUAGUGCAAUGGCAUAAGCCAGCUUGACUGCGAGCGUGACGGCGCGAGCAGGUGCGAAAGCAGGUCAUAGUGAUCCGGUGGUUCUGAAUGGAAGGGCCAUCGCUCAACGGAUAAAAGGUACUCCGGGGAUAACAGGCUGAUACCGCCCAAGAGUUCAUAUCGACGGCGGUGUUUGGCACCUCGAUGUCGGCUCAUCACAUCCUGGGGCUGAAGUAGGUCCCAAGGGUAUGGCUGUUCGCCAUUUAAAGUGGUACGCGAGCUGGGUUUAGAACGUCGUGAGACAGUUCGGUCCCUAUCUGCCGUGGGCGCUGGAGAACUGAGGGGGGCUGCUCCUAGUACGAGAGGACCGGAGUGGACGCAUCACUGGUGUUCGGGUUGUCAUGCCAAUGGCACUGCCCGGUAGCUAAAUGCGGAAGAGAUAAGUGCUGAAAGCAUCUAAGCACGAAACUUGCCCCGAGAUGAGUUCUCCCUGACUCCUUGAGAGUCCUGAAGGAACGUUGAAGACGACGACGUUGAUAGGCCGGGUGUGUAAGCGCAGCGAUGCGUUGAGCUAACCGGUACUAAUGAACCGUGAGGCUUAACCUU